GAUGAAGAACGUAGCGAAAUGCGAUAAGUAAUGUGAAUUGCAGAAUUCAGUGAAUCAUCGAAUCUUUGAACGCACAUUGCGCCCGCUAGUAUUCUGGCGGGCAUGCCUGUCCGAGCGUCAUUUCAACCCUCAAGCCCCCGGGCUUGGUGUUGGGGAUCGGCGAGCCUCCGCGCCCGCCGUCCCCUAAAUCUAGUGGCGGUCUCGCUGUAGCUUCCUCUGCGUAGUAGCACACCUCGCACUGGGAAACAGCGCGGCCACGCCGUUAAACCCCCAACUUCUGAACGUUUGACCUCGGACCAGGUAGGAAUACCCGCUGAACUUAAGCAUAUCAAUAAGCGGAGGA
RNAcentral lists this unclassified non-coding RNA (343 nucleotides) under soil metagenome. RNAcentral describes it as "partial contains 5.8S ribosomal RNA, internal transcribed spacer 2, and large subunit ribosomal RNA". The stretch from base 1 to 120 matches the Rfam family "5.8S ribosomal RNA", at positions 35 to 154 of the family's 154-position model. The record is from RNAcentral.